AUUUAGUGGGGAAUAACUGUUGGAAACGACAGCUAAUACCGCAUAAUAUUGCUGGAUAAUUUCCAGUAAUGAAAGGAGCUUUCAAGCUCCGCUGAUUGAUGAGGAUGCGGCGCAUUAGCUAGUUGGUAGGGUAAUGGCCUACCAAGGCAAUGAUGCGUAGCCGAUCUGAGAGGAUGAACGGCCACAUUGGGACUGAGACACGGCCCAAACUUCUACGGAAGGCAGCAGUAGGGAAUUUUUCACAAUGGGCGAAAGCCUGAUGGAGCAAUGCCGCGUGACUGAUGAAGGUCUUCGGAUUGUAAAGGUCUGUUGUAAGGGAAGAAAUGGUAAAACAGGAAAUGGUUUUAUCUAUGACGGUACCUUACCAGAAAGCCACGGCUAACUAUGUGCCAGCAGCCGCGGUAAUACAUAGGUGGCAAGCGUUAUCCGGAUUUAUUGGGCGUAAAGGGUGCGUAGACGGUUUUGCAAGUCUGANGUUAAAUUUAGGAGCUCAACUCCUAAUCGCCUUGGAAACUACAAGACUAGAGUAUAGGAGAGGUUAGUGNAAUUCCAUGUGUAGCGGUGGAAUGUGUAGAUAUAUGGAGGAACACCAGUGGCGAAG
Molecule: ribosomal RNA, 601 nt
Filed under: uncultured Spiroplasma sp.
Lineage: Bacteria; Bacillati; Mycoplasmatota; Mollicutes; Entomoplasmatales; Spiroplasmataceae
Description: bacterial SSU rRNA
Rfam family: Bacterial small subunit ribosomal RNA
Source: RNAcentral